This 501-nucleotide ribosomal RNA is filed under the name uncultured bacterium. Its description in RNAcentral is "partial 16S ribosomal RNA". It matches the Rfam family "Bacterial small subunit ribosomal RNA", at positions 29 to 523 of the family's 1533-position model. The record is from RNAcentral.
AUUGAACGCUGGCGGCAUGCCUUACACAUGCAAGUCGAACGGCAGCACGGGUGCUUGCACCUGGUGGCGAGUGGCGAACGGGUGAGUAAUACAUCGGAACGUACCUUAUCGUGGGGGAUAACGCAGCGAAAGCUGUGCUAAUACCGCAUACGCCCUGAGGGGGAAAGCGGGGGAUCGAAAGACCUCGCGCGAUUAGAGCGGCCGAUGCCUGAUUAGCUUGUUGGUGGGGUAAAAGCCCACCAAGGCGACGAACAGUAGCUGGUCUGAGAGGACGACCAGCCACACGGGGACUGAGACACGGCCAAGACUCCUACGGGAGGCAGCAGUGGGGAAUUUUGGACAAUGGGGGCAACCCUGAUCCAGCAAUGCCGCGUGAGUGAAGAAGGCCUUCGGGUUGUAAAGCUCUUUUGUCAGGGAAGAAACACCGGCUCUAACACAGUCCGGGAAUGACGGUACCUGAAGAAUAAGCACCGGCUAACUACGUGCCAGCCGCCGCGGUAA